Molecule: ribosomal RNA, 200 nt
Filed under: uncultured eukaryote
Lineage: Eukaryota
Description: partial 18S ribosomal RNA
Rfam family: Eukaryotic small subunit ribosomal RNA
Source: RNAcentral
GCUCCAAUAGCGUAUAUUAAAGUUGUUGCAGUUAAAAAGCUCGUAGUUGGAUUUCUGGAGUCAGCUUUCGGCCGUGCCUUUAGGCAUGUGUGCUGUAUCUGUCUGGCUUCAUCCUUGUAGUGAUUGUAUCUGGCAUUCAGUUGUCGGGUGCAGGAGCUGCAUCGUUUACUGUGAAAAAAUUAGAGUGUUUAAAGCAGGCU